GCCUUAAGCUCAGGAUAUACACAAAUUCUGGCAAAACCAUGCCAGGUUCUUUAGGCCAUGAGGAGCAUGCUGCCAUACCGUUGCAGAAUGGUAUGACAAGUUGACAACUGCAACAACGAUGGAUCUAAACAGACUGUCAGGUCUAACUGGUGAUAAAGGCCAGAGAGGUGUUGCAGAGGGAUG
This is a non-coding RNA of Camelina sativa (false flax), 183 nucleotides long. The record is from RefSeq and is a predicted model, not a curated record. NCBI's taxonomy places the organism in Eukaryota, Viridiplantae, Streptophyta, Magnoliopsida, Brassicales, Brassicaceae.